RNAcentral lists this ribosomal RNA (792 nucleotides) under Triticum aestivum (bread wheat). RNAcentral's name for it is "partial small subunit ribosomal RNA". Lineage: Eukaryota; Viridiplantae; Streptophyta; Magnoliopsida; Poales; Poaceae. The record is from RNAcentral.
AUGCCGCCGCCGCAGAAAAAGACCAAGGUGGAGGACGAGGUGCCCCGCGCGACGGUGGCCAGCGCCGUGGUGUCGCUGACCAACUGGAUGCGCGAGCGCGCGGCGGAGGCACCCCCGAACCUGCUCGCGGACGAGCGCGACGACGUCGUGGUGCUCCAGCUCUCGCUCCGCCGCGUCCCGCCCAAGCCCACCACCAAGCCGCACCUCCUCCCGCUCCCGCACCCCGUCGUCGCCCACUCGGCCGCCUCCGUCUGCGUCAUCUCCGACGACCGCGCCGGCUCCGGAUCCCCCGCCGCCGCCCCCAUCCUUGACGCGGCCAGGUCCCUCGAGCUCCCCGUCUCGGAGGCCAUCCCCUUCUAUGCCCUGCGGACCGACUACCGCCCCUACGAGUCGUGCCGCCGCUUGGCCGCCUCCUACGACCUCUUCCUCGCCGACCGCGCCCUGCUCCCGAUCUUGCCCUGCCUCCUCGGGAAGUCCUUGUACUCCACCAAAAAGGCCCCACUCGCGGUCGACUUCACCCGGGCUGGAUGGCCAGAGCAGGUCCACAAUGUCCUGAGCUCCACUUGCGUCUACCUGCGAUCCGGUACCUGCUCGGGGAUCAAGGUGGGCAGGCUGGACAUGGAGGAAGAGGAGAUCGUCGAGAACGUGAUGGCGGCAGUGGAGGCUGCUGUGGAGAAGGUGCCAGAAAAGUGGGCAAACGUGAGGGCUUUGCAUCUCAAGGCUGUGGACUCGGUUGCCCUGCCGAUAUACCAGGUUGUGCCGGAGUUGGGCAUGAAGAUUGAGGUUUGUUAG